UCACUCUAAAAAACUAAUAAAUUUCUAACCGACAAGUGAGUUACAAUUACAUUUUAUUUUGAAUUUCAGUUAAAUUUGAAAACAUAAUUUGAACUCUAAAAAAACACAUUCACGCUUCAAAUAACAAGGAGGUUUAUAACACAUUUUUCCAAUCCACAUUUUUCAUUCAGUAUUCACUCAUUCAUAACAGAAAAUUCAGCUGAAAAGAAAAGCAUUACGCAACACAGAUCUUCAUCACAACAAAUUCAUCAAAACCGAUUCACUCAUUCAUCAGCAUAACAGAGAAAUCAAUCACAAACGCACGCAAUCUCACAAGAAUUCAAAAAUCAAAAUCCAACGGAGGGAGAAGAAGAGGAAGAAAUUGGAAAUCAAAUGGAAAAUUUGAUAUCUGUUCAAUUUGUUAAGUCCUCCGAUUCGUCUUCGAUACCGUUUGCGCAUACAAUAAUAGAACGAGUUGAGUUUGGCAAUGUGAAUCUUCGAAUCUUCGAAUUAAUGAUGGAAAGACGUGAAUCACAAAUUUCUGAACCGUGGAGUUUUGCUGAAACACGAUGAAUACAAAGCCGUGAGAAUGUUGAACGCGGUCGUGAACUUGCUCAGCUAUGGUGUUUUGGUCGCAUCGUGGAUUUUUCCGGAUAAGAUAUUUUCUUAUUGUGCUUCAGAUCACAUGAGAAAGAGAGUGAAGAAGACUCGGUUCUGGGUGUUGUUUCCAAGCUUUGGAUGUUUGGGCCUAAGGCCCAAACUAACCAGUCUCUGCUUACACACAUGCUUCAUGGGCCAGCACCUCCAUAAACCUCCUAAUUUAUUUUAUUUAAUUAUUUUCAUGUUAUUU
This 829-nucleotide long non-coding RNA is filed under the name Lathyrus oleraceus (garden pea). RNAcentral's name for it is "Pisum sativum (pea) long non-coding RNA (PSAT_LNC012785)". Lineage: Eukaryota; Viridiplantae; Streptophyta; Magnoliopsida; Fabales; Fabaceae. The record is from RNAcentral.